Kocuria rhizophila DC2201 is the source of this 290-nucleotide small RNA. It matches the Rfam family "5' ureB small RNA". The record is from Rfam. Lineage: Bacteria; Bacillati; Actinomycetota; Actinomycetes; Micrococcales; Micrococcaceae.
CCGUCUCGAUCUGGUCCGGGCUGAUGAAGUGGAUGUGCGAGUCGAUCCCGCCCGCCGUGAGGAUCUUGCCCUCCCCGGCGAUCACGUCCGUGGCCACGCCGAUCACGAUGUCCACGCCGUCCAUCACGUGCGGGUUGCCGGCCUUGCCGAUCCGCAUGAUGUGACCGUCCCGCACGGCCACAUCCGCCUUGCAGAUCCCCGUCCAGUCGAUGACCACCACGUUGGUGAUCACCAGGUCCGGGACGUCCUCGUCCCGCCCGAGCCGCCCGUUCUGGCCCAUGCCGUCCCGG